This is a long non-coding RNA of Ostrea edulis (European flat oyster), 405 nucleotides long. RefSeq lists it as uncharacterized. Lineage: Eukaryota; Metazoa; Mollusca; Bivalvia; Ostreida; Ostreidae. The transcript is spliced from 3 exons. The record is from RefSeq and is a predicted model, not a curated record.
AAGCAAGAUCCUAUUACAGCUUACGUACAUGUAUGGAACAAUUUUAAAGGUGCAAGCAGUACCUCUGGAGCAAGCGUUUCUGAGUUUAUCGGGUGUGGUGGACAUCAAGGGGAGAUAAUUCUCAUCACCACAGUGGCUACACACAUUCACAUCAAACUGGUAACGGGAUCUCUAACCACUGCUCCUCUGAGGACCGAGACUUUCCUCAAGCUGACAACCAUGGUUAUAUCAACUCCCGUGAAUCCACCAGCUGCUCGUUAUAUAGUGGUCAAACCACGAUAUCCAUUGAUUUCACUCAGUGACGUGAAAUGUCAUCUACUCAUACAUGUAUGUGUGUAUGAAUUCUAAAAUUCUCACGUUUCCCUCAUGCUUCUUAAUGUGAAAUAAAUGUCAGCUGAAAUAACA